This 731-nucleotide ribosomal RNA is filed under the name Miconia caelestis. RNAcentral describes it as "eukaryotic LSU rRNA". The stretch from base 260 to 415 matches the Rfam family "5.8S ribosomal RNA". The record is from RNAcentral. Lineage: Eukaryota; Viridiplantae; Streptophyta; Magnoliopsida; Myrtales; Melastomataceae.
GGAUCAUUGUCGAAAUCGAACGGAAGAACGACCCGCGAAUCGUCAUUGCGUAGCAUACAGAGCCCGUGAGCACCUAACGCUCACGGGUCUCGCGUCGCGUCGGCGCGGGUGUACUCGAGACCCGCGUCGUACCGGCGGACAAACAACGUCAGCACGGAUCGUGCCAAGGAGCAGCAUGGAGAGAAUCGUCGUCCCACGCCUUUGAUAGUCCUCGACGCGGGACGGGGGAUGUACGCAAUCUCUACUCAAAAGUCUAAACGACUCUCGGCAACGGAUAUCUCGGCUCUUGCAUCGAUGAAGAACGUAGCGAAAUGCGAUACUUGGUGUGAAUUGCAGAAUCCCGUGAACCAUCAAUUCUUUGAACGCAAGUUGCGCCCGAAGCCAUUCGGCCGAGGGCACGCCUGCCUGGGCGUCGUGAAUCCCCUUGCCCCUAGGCACCCGCAUGAGCAUCGGCGGGGACAUAUCCUCGGGCGCAGAAUAUGGUCUCCCGUGGGAUCGGCAUGCACGGCAUGUCGAGGUGCGGUUGGCCGAAAAUCGAGCAUGGCGGUGACGGGCACCACGGCGUUCGGUGGAUCGAAUGAGAUUGGCUGCGUCGUGGGCUCGGCAUGCGGCGGGCUCCGGACUUUGAAUAUCCCCGAGUGCGAUCCCAGGUCAGGCGGGGCUACCCGCUGAGUUUAAGCAUAUCAAUAAGCGGAGGAAAAGAAACUAACGAGGAUUCCCUUAGUAGCGGC